This 982-nucleotide ribosomal RNA is filed under the name human gut metagenome. RNAcentral's name for it is "bacterial LSU rRNA". It matches the Rfam family "Bacterial large subunit ribosomal RNA", at positions 1945 to 2925 of the family's 2925-position model. The record is from RNAcentral.
ACGGUCCUAAGGUAGCGAAAUUCCUUGUCAGGUAAGUUCUGACCCGCACGAAAGGCGUAACGAUUUGGGCGCUGUCUCAGCUGUAGACUCGGUGAAGUCUUAGUACCUGUGAAGAUGCAGGUUACCCGCGACUAGACGGAAAGACCCCAUGGAGCUUCACUGCAGGUUGAUAUUGGGAUUUGAUGCAGCAUGUACAGGAUAGGUAGGAGGCAAAGAGAUGGAUACGCCAGUAUUCAAGGAGCCGCUGUUGGGAUACUACCCCUGUUGUAUUGGAUUUCUAACCGGACGACGUAAAGCCGUUGACGGGACAGUGUCAGUCGGGCAGUUUGACUGGGGCGGUCGCCUCCCAAAGAGUAACGGAGGCGCCCAAAGAUACCCUCAGCUUGGAUGGAAACCAAGCGCAGAGUGCAAAGGCAAAAGGGUGUUUGACUGCGAGACCUACAAGUCGAGCAGGGACGAAAGUCGGGCUUAGUGAUCCGGCGGUGCUGAAUGGAAAGGCCGUCGCUCAACGGAUAAAAGCUACCCUGGGGAUAACAGGCUGAUCUCCCCCAAGAGUCCACAUCGACGGGGAGGUUUGGCACCUCGAUGUCGGCUCAUCGCAUCCUGGGGCUGUAUUCGGUCCCAAGGGUUUGGCUGUUCGCCAAUUAAAGCGGUACGCGAGCUGGGUUCAGAACGUCGUGAGACAGUUCGGUCCCUAUCUGUCGUGGGCGCAGGAUAUUUGAGGAGUGCUGUCCUUAGUACGAGAGGACCGGGAUGGACGCACCUCUGGUGCACCAGUUGUCACGCCAGUGGCACAGCUGGGCAGCUAUGUGCGGAACGGAUAAACGCUGAAAGCAUCUAAGCGUGAAGCCGCCUCCAAGAUAAGAUAUCCCAUAGCAUAAGCUAGUAAGACCCCUCAUGGACUAAGAGGUUGAUAGGCUGCAUGUGUAAGCGUGGUGACACGUUUAGCUUGGCAGUACUAAUAGGUCGAGGGCUUGACUUU